RNAcentral lists this ribosomal RNA (253 nucleotides) under uncultured bacterium. RNAcentral describes it as "partial 16S ribosomal RNA". It matches the Rfam family "Bacterial small subunit ribosomal RNA", at positions 524 to 776 of the family's 1533-position model. The record is from RNAcentral.
UACGGGGGGGGCAAGCGUUGUUCGGAAUUACUGGGCGUAAAGGGCUCGUAGGUUGCCAACUAAGUCAGACGUGAAAUCCCUCAGCUUAACUGGGGAACUGCGUCUGAUACUGGAUGGCUUGAGUUUGGGAGAGGGAUGCGGAAUUCCAGGUGUAGCGGUGAAAUGCGUAGAUAUCUGGAGGAAUACCGGUGGCGAAGGCGGCAUCCUGGACCGGCAUUGACGCUGAGGAGCGAAAGCCAGGGGAGCAAACGGG